UACGGAGGGUGCAAGCGUUGUCCGGAUUUAUUGGGUUUAAAGGGUGCGUAGGCGGCCAUAUAAGUCAGUGGUGAAACCCUUGGGCUUAACCCAAGGAGUGCCAUUGAUACUGUAUGGCUUGGGUUAUCUCUGGGCGGGCGGAAUGGAUGGUGUAGCGGUGAAAUGCGCAGAUAUCAGGAGGAACACCGGUGGCGAAGGCGGGUCUCUGGGCAGUAACUGACGCUGAGGAGCGAAAGCGUGGGGGAGCGAACAGG
RNAcentral lists this ribosomal RNA (254 nucleotides) under uncultured bacterium. Its description in RNAcentral is "partial 16S ribosomal RNA". It matches the Rfam family "Bacterial small subunit ribosomal RNA", at positions 524 to 776 of the family's 1533-position model. The record is from RNAcentral.